Molecule: long non-coding RNA, 1606 nt
Organism: Ailuropoda melanoleuca (giant panda)
Lineage: Eukaryota; Metazoa; Chordata; Mammalia; Carnivora; Ursidae
Exons: 3
Source: RefSeq, a predicted model, not a curated record
GCCAAACCCAGGGGAAGCCAGAGGCGCAGGAGCCUGGCAAUGGCAAGCUGAGAAGGGCAAGAGGAGCUGAACCCAAGAUAAAUCCCUCUGUGGCUGUGGAAUUUGACUUGAAGGGGAGCAGAGGAUUCGGCCAGCCAUGAGGAAGAGGAUGGUGUUGCUGCAGGCAGUGUGUGUCCCCCGUGACUCUGCACUGCCCCUCAGGGCAAGAGGACUGGUUUUCUCUGGUACUGUGCAUCUGCUGCAUAGGAGCUGGACUCAGUGACAACAGAGGGACAUCGAUAUGAAGACAGCUAGAACCCCAAAAUGGCCUCCGUUGUCUCAAGGCUGAGAAGCAAAGCCAACAGCGCCCCCACCAGUCCUUCCAGGGGUCUCAGACUCAAGGAUCCUAUGGCGGACUUGUCACCACGCAGAGGGCUGCUGUCACCACCCGGAGUUUCUGCUCCAAUGAGUGAGGAGUGGCCCCCGGGGGACAUCAGUGCUGCCCUGUCAGGACAGCGCUGCAUCACGGGAAGGGACCGACGAGGGAGUGCAGGCCCCUGGGGACAUCUAGUUGGGUUCCAGCACAACAGAUGCGCCACGGAGAUGUCAUGGAGGCGGCCAGGUGGGUAUGAGUCUGGACGGUAUGGAAAGGUUUGGAAAGAACGAAUGAAUGUGAGUCAGGACGGUUCGAUGUCAUUAAAGCCACGACACUGAAGAGGUCAGCAAGGGGAUGAGAUGCUAAGGAAGGAAAGUGGGUGUUCUGCGGGGUGUGUGGUGGCUGCUGGCCCUACGGUGAGCAGACAGAGCCUGUGUGGGGCAGUGCCAUGGAGGGGCAGCCGUCCUCCAUGGAGCACGGCCUUGGGCUGCUCCUUGGGCAGCUGGGUGAGAGGGUGCUGGAGCCGUCGCCCAGUGACCUGUGUCUACAACUCACUUUGCACAGCCUCCAGUGAGAGACAGGUGUGUCUGCCUGUCAUGGGCUUAUAGACGGGUCUUUUAUUUAUGCUCAGACUCAUUCAGUCCCUUAGAAGUCGUUUUUAUGUAAGACAUGAAAGGCAGCUUGCGGAAACUCCCUGGCUGCACAGAUCGCAGAGAAAUGCCAACUCAUUGGCAAGCUUAGUGCAGCCAAGAAGGAGCAUGCAGUGGCUGAGAUGUCUCUAGGGAAUGCCCGACUAGGGAAAGGGCCACUCAACAGACCCAGCCUUGCAGACGCUUGAGGAAAGGUGGUGAAGGCCAACUCGAUGCUGGAGGAAUUAACUUCUGUGGUUCAAGAACUGAACGAAGAGAGAGCCCAGCACCCACGGCUGGUGUUGUGGAGAUGGUGACAGCAAAGCUGCUGGAAGAGGUCCUGAGAACCGCCACACCCCAUGGAGCUUUUCCCAACCUGCCUGGAGGCCAGGAGCCAAGCCCUGCUGGUGCCUUCCCCCGGAGCACUGCUGUUCCCUCCCCUCCACUCGGGCUCCCAGCUGCCCGGCUGCCUUGGCGACCCCACCCCACCUGACCAUCACUGAGGCAAGUGGGUGCAGGGGAGCCCCUCCCUGCACUGGCGUUCCUUGAGCUCCACGUGCUGGGCUUGGCAGUGAGCUCCUUUGUGGAUCACUUCUCCAAAUCUAAAGAAUAUUAGACUUCC